GAGUUUGAUUCUGGCUCACGCAACGAACGCUGGCGGCAGGCUUAACACAUGCAAGUCGAGGGAGAAGCCUUUCUUCGGAGAGGUGGAAACCGGCGCACGGGUGAGUAACGCGUGGGCAUCUGUCCUGGAGUGGGGGAUAACCGCUGGAAACGGCGGCUAAUACCGCAUACGCCCUAAGGGGGAAAGAUUUAUCGCUCUGGGAUGAGCCCGCGUCCGAUUAGCUUGUUGGUGGGGUAAUGGCCUACCAAGGCGACGAUCGGUAGCUGGUCUGAGAGGAUGGUCAGCCACACUGGGACUGAGACACGGCCCAGACUCCUACGGGAGGCAGCAGUGGGGAAUAUUGGACAAUGGGCGCAAGCCUGAUCCAGCCAUGCCGCGUGAGUGAAGAAGGCCUUAGGGUUGUAAAGCUCUUUCACCCGUGAAGAUGAUGACGGUAGCGGGAGAAGAAGCCCCGGCUAACUCCGUGCCAGCAGCCGCGGUAAUACGGAGGGGGCGAGCGUUGUUCGGAAUUACUGGGCGUAAAGGGCGCGUAGGCGGGCUGGCCAGUCAGAGGUGAAAGUCCUGGGCUCAACCUGGGGACUGCCUUUGAAACUGCCAGUCUGGAGUCCGGGAGAGGAUGGCGGA
Molecule: ribosomal RNA, 624 nt
Filed under: uncultured Rhodospirillaceae bacterium
Lineage: Bacteria; Pseudomonadati; Pseudomonadota; Alphaproteobacteria; Rhodospirillales; Rhodospirillaceae
Description: bacterial SSU rRNA
Rfam family: Bacterial small subunit ribosomal RNA
Source: RNAcentral